AACUUUGGACAAGGGAUCUCUUGGCUCUCGCAUCGAUGAAGAACGCAGCGAAAUGCGAUAAGUAAUGUGAAUUGCAGAAUUCAGUGAAUCAGCGAAUCUUUGAACGCACCUUGCGCUCUGUGGUAUUCCGAAGAGCAUGCCUGUUUGAGUGUCAUGAAAAUAUCAACCUUGACUUGGGUAUAGUGCUCUGUUCUUGGCUUGUAUUUGGCUGUUUGCCGCUCUAAAGAGUCGGCUCAGCUUAAAAGUAUUAGCUGGAUCUGUCUUUGAGACUUGGUUUGACUUGGCGUAAUAAGUUAUUUCGCUGAGGACAAUCUUCGGAUUGGCCGAGUUUCUGGGACGUUUGUCCGCUUUCUAAUACAAGUUCUAGCUUGCUAGACAUGACUUUUUUAUUAUCUGGCCUCAAAUCAGGUAGGACUACCCGCUGAACUUAAGCAUAUCAAUAAGCGGAGGCU
RNAcentral lists this unclassified non-coding RNA (452 nucleotides) under uncultured Cryptococcus. RNAcentral describes it as "sequence contains ITS2". The stretch from base 1 to 154 matches the Rfam family "5.8S ribosomal RNA". The record is from RNAcentral. Lineage: Eukaryota; Fungi; Basidiomycota; Tremellomycetes.